Molecule: long non-coding RNA, 930 nt
Organism: Pezoporus occidentalis (night parrot)
Lineage: Eukaryota; Metazoa; Chordata; Aves; Psittaciformes; Psittacidae
Exons: 3
Source: RefSeq, a predicted model, not a curated record
CCUGAGCUCCUGUCAGAAAAGCAGAGAGCUGAUGAAGAUGGAUGUGACAACCGAGAGGAAUGGUGUGGGAAGGAAGUGGAUGGUCUCACAGCUUGGCCGCGUUCUCCAACAAAAGAUUGCAGGAUUAAAUGAGGAACACUGCACACACAGGCUUUCUAACCUCUGCUGGGCUUAGAGCAAUGACAACUAGCAACAAGAAACCCAUCGUUUUGAAUGACCAGGAGAGCAUAUCUAUUGAGUUUAUCAGUUGUAGCCGUCACUAAGUAAUCCAUGCAGCUGCGGUGAGACCUACAACGAUGUACAGGCAACCAGGACAGUAAAGAUUCAUAGAGCUUGGAUCCAGGCACCGGUUUCAAGGGCCAGCAGGGUACAGUCGUUAAGUAAACGAGACACACUGUGACAGGGUCUGCGGAAUGACAUUCACAGGAGAUUGCUGAGAUUACAACAGAAAUGGGGGGGGGGGGUUCCAUCUUCAAGUCACUGGCCUCUUAACAUGUGUGACACUGCUUAAACAGAGACAUAAAUGUCUUUAUACUUGCACAGGGUCCUAGAAAAAAACCCCAACACAUAGUACUGGAGCACAACAGUGAGAGACUCAAGCACUUUGGUGUAGGAAUUCAUUAGAAAUAUCUGUUGUGUAAUAAAACCUCACAAAUAUUUAUUAUCUGAAUACCUAGAGAUAAACCAGAUGUGAACAUGCCACCUCUGAAACCUGUUCCCUAAAUGACAGAACAGAGUAGCUACUAUGAAGCAGCCCAGCUCCAUGGCUUGCUCUGUGUGUGUGUGAAAGGCCCACAUGAGAAAUCUCUUCUCAGAACAGAUAUCUUGUGAUUUUUAUGCCUGUAAGGAUGGUCCUGAAAGAAUAAAAGCAAUGGACAUGCACGUACAACUGUGCUUGCAGGCAUCAGCCUCUAAGAAAAGAGCACAGGA